GUGGGGAAUAUUGGACAAUGGGGGGAACCCUGAUCCAGCCAUGCCGCGUGUGUGAAGAAGGCCUUUUGGUUGUAAAGCACUUUAAGCGAGGAGGAGGCUACCGAGAUUAAUACUCUUGGAUAGUGGACGUUACUCGCAGAAUAAGCACCGGCUAACUCUGUGCCAGCAGCCGCGGUAAUACAGAGGGUGCAAGCGUUAAUCGGAUUUACUGGGCGUAAAGCGCGCGUAGGUGGCCAAUUAGGUCAAAUGUGAAAUCCCCGAGCUUAACUUGGGAAUUGCAUUCGAUACUGGUUGGCUAGAGUAUGGGAGAGGAUGGUAGAAUUCCAGGUGUAGCGGUGAAAUGCGUAGAGAUCUGGAGGAAUACCGAUGGCGAAGGCAGCCAUCUGGCCUAAUACUGACACUGAGGUGCGAAAGCAUGGGGAGCAAACAGGAUUAGAAACCCGGGUAGUCC
Molecule: ribosomal RNA, 451 nt
Filed under: uncultured bacterium
Lineage: Bacteria
Description: partial 16S ribosomal RNA
Rfam family: Bacterial small subunit ribosomal RNA
Source: RNAcentral